UGUGAAAUACCACGAAAUCACACCAAUUAGUACUGAAUUUUGCCGUACGAAAUCCACGGCGCUCUACAAUAGUUCAAAAUUUGACAAUAAACGGGUGGAACUACGUGCAACAUCAACGACUUUGAAUGCUAAGCACGUCGGUUUGCCGAAAAAAAAAUCAAUAAAAUCUAUAUCAAAUCGUUUUGAAUGACACAACGUAACAUUACACAUCGGAGUAAAUGAUAUCAACUCCACAACUAAUACUCGAACACAAAAUCCAAUACAACAAACGACUCAUUCUUUCAAUUGUUUCCUCCUCUUUUCUCUUUCCGUAUUCAGUUGGCUCGGGAAUUGUUCUUUUGGCAUCUUGAAAAACCAUAUAAGCGCGCGCUGAAAUAAAUCGGCCAAUUUUAGCGUGUCAAACCAAGUAGUGAUAAAUUUUCUUCGGCUUUCAUUAUUACAAACAAAAUAUUUAAAUAAGAAGUACAUACAAAAUAUGGAAAUAUUUACUUUGAACUCAAUUUAAAUCAACUCGUGAUUUCAAUAGACGCACCAAGAGUUCCGAACUAAUACAAAAUAAAAUUGCAUAAGCUCCAUCACAUACAUGGCUUAUCAAUCAUGAUAAGGGCGCUGUUUGUUUGGCUAGUAAAAAAAGAAGCAUCAGCAAAGAUAGCUAUUACUAGAGGUGAUUCUGGACCUGUCAUGACAUUCACUUCGAAGUAUUUAAUCAACGACGUUUGUCGUCGCAACGUCAACAAUUGCGCCAACGAAUAGCGAUUGUCUGGCCGAAACCAUCUCUGACUGUUCACAAAUGACAAUUGAAUAGCGAUGAUAGUGAAGCAAUUGAAAUUGAAUUUUAGCCUGUUCAAACAAAAACAUUAUGAAUCGAUCAAAACAAAUUAAUGACAAUUCUUCAUAAUAUUCCACUCAAAGUGUUUACAUUUGUGAUAAAAAAAGAGCCGUUUUGCUUAUGUUUUCCAUUUCCUAUGAUUAUUCCGAGUUCAUUUCAAUUCGAUUCUUAUAAUUCAUUUUGCAAUGAUUGUUGUUUGUGCGACGAUUCACGAGUUUCAAACACGUUAUCAUGUUUGCUGUGUUUGGGUCAGUCGCUCACUUUGGAAUUUUUCCGAACGCAAUUUACUCAAACCGAUCCGGUUCAAUGUAGCACGAGAUUUUUCGUAUUUAAAAUUGAAUCUGACGACUAACUAUCAUGUUAAUGAAUGCUAUGGUUAAUUUUAAACAGAAUAAAAAACAAAUACACAUCAUUAUCAGCCAUGCGAUAGCUUAUGAACUCAUUUUUUUCAUGUGACACAUUGACUUCUUUCAACCUUUUUAUUUCUGCAUAAUCAGUCGGAUGCCUCUUUCGAAUCGAAUCUCGGUUCAUUUGAAGUUUUAAGUAACACAAAAUAUAGGAAUCGGUGGUUUCUGUUUUCUUCAAUACAUAGCUACAAUUUUUUCUGUAAAAAAUCAUAAUGAAUCAUUGAUUCGAAUGUAGCGCUCCAAUUAUUAAAUUGUUUUGAGGAAAUUCAUGCUGUCUAAGGGGACACGUGCGUUUUAUUGGUAGAAUAUCAAUUCGUCAGCAUAGCAACAACCCAACCACAGCCAUUCUGAUAAAUAGCACACACUGUUUUAAUAUAAAAUUCGUCUUUGCGCCAAACGUUAUCAGCAACGCUGUCCGAAAGAUGUAAACCAUUUCUGUAUUUAUCUUGAAACCGAAGUACAUGCUCCGUCACACAAAAUGCACGCCCUUUUGAUGUUUUCAAUGUUUACACUCAAAACAUUACGUGAAAUCAUUGAGCGGGCCAUUUUCGAUUUGCGCUGUGUUCCAAUGUUAAGUGCACUUGAAGUUGGCUAAUAAUACGUUUGCUUUGGAAUUAUGGUUCGAACGUCAUUCACCAAAUCUAGUAUCAAAUAACUGCCAUAAAAUAGCGAGAUAAUUCAGAUGAAUGAUUAGAAAAUGCGUAGCUCUCGCAGUCAUUAGAUGUGUUUUUUCGUAUCCAUUCAAAAUGAAAUUUGUGUUGUCAACUAUUUUUGUGAUCUUUUCAAUUUCGCAGAUAUUGGCGGUCAGUAAUGAAGGCACUACUAUCGAUGUAAUUCAGCCUGUAACAGUCGAAACCAGAACAACAACAACAACAACAACGACUACGAAAGAACCGCCAUUUGUUGAGGCAAAAGCAAAAGCACAGGCGACACCAAGCGUUAGAUUGCCAGCCUCACAAGCUCGUGAUCUCUAUGAAAAUGUAGAAAUAGCUGUUGAAGGCCGACCUAUUCCUGCUGAUUUUAUAGCACUUUCCCCACUCGAUUGUUCAUAAAUCAAAAGAAAUAGGGAAGUUUCCGCGGAUGUUUGCUACCAAAUUGCAUUAUAUAAAAACAACCAAGAUGAUGACGAAAUUGCGGCGAACUCGUGAACUAUCAAAAUUUCAAUACAAAUUAAUACGGCGUUCGUGGCGCCAUUAGUACUCAAAAUUUAAUUUGUACUGAGAUUUCGUCAGCUUGAAAACUGUACCAACUUAUUGUAAAUCCUUACGAUACCACCUACCUGUUUCUGCGUUUAGCGUAUGAAUUUAGGAAUCUUUUUUAGUUUGUGGCACGAAAUCAAAUAAAUACAUAUACUUAUGGCUUAGAAA
Molecule: long non-coding RNA, 2603 nt
Organism: Sitodiplosis mosellana (orange wheat blossom midge)
Lineage: Eukaryota; Metazoa; Arthropoda; Insecta; Diptera; Cecidomyiidae
Exons: 2
Source: RefSeq, a predicted model, not a curated record